Long non-coding RNA from Gallus gallus (chicken), 1847 nucleotides. The record is from Ensembl. Lineage: Eukaryota; Metazoa; Chordata; Aves; Galliformes; Phasianidae.
AUCUCUUUCUGGAGAUUGCUCCUUUUGGAGUUUUCUAUUGUGAGCCUUGAUCCUUGGAUAUGGGAGGAGAAAUGGAUGCAGGAUUUCUGAAAGAAAAGUCUACUUCCAGCCUAGGUUGUACAGGAAAAAGUGGAAAAUGAUGCAGCUGACCCCAGCCUGGGUUGCCCUGGACAAGACCUGGCAUUGUUUUAGACACUAUGAUACAGCAGAGCACCUGCAAAGGAGGAAAACGGCUCUUGCUGUGCAGAUCGCAGCUUUGGAUAGCUUGAAGAUAACUGAAGGCUCCACCACUCUGCACAGUCUACUGCUGAAUGCUUCAACAUCAAUCUGAGAAAGGCUUUGUAGCUGCCAAGCGCCGGGUGUCUCUGCCACAGUGUAGGCUGUGCUCCCUUUCACUGUCACCAUGCCUGGGGCUAUCUGUGCCUUGCUCACUGGGUGGAAGCUGGGUGUUUGGGGGGCUGGUGGGGAGUUGUGUAGGGCAGGACUUGGGGCAGGUGCUCCCUUGGGCUGCAGUAGCACAAGGCAUUUCUAGGGGAUGGCAGUGCUCACUUCUGUGCUUUAUGCAUGCUGGCUCCUGGGCUGGGGAUGAGGAUAGCGCUGGCAGCCCUGGGUAGUGAUGCCAGAACCUGGCACGCUCAGGUGUGGGAUGGAGUUGCGAUGGUUGGGCUGGAGCAACUCUGGACAUGCUUGGGAGCAGGAUAACAGCCUGCGGAGGCUAAGAUCCCAACCAGGAGGCAGCAGGCAAGUUGAGGCAACUCUGGGGCUAGGCAGCAGCUGAACAGGAGUUGCAGUUUUCAACUGAGGUAGCCAAAUUCUGCCAAAAUCUUGUUUAAUAUGCCUAUUGUAUUUGCAGGUUUUCUUUCCUUUGUAAGAAUGGCAGCCUUUAAUCUUGGUAGUUUGUAUUCCUUUUGUAAAGUGGAGUUAUGAAUGUUUAGCCCCCUUUAGAAGAUCACCGAUAUCUGUGAGUGAAUGUUCCUGCAGACAACCACAGUAUUCAAGAUACAGCACUGUGUUCUCCACCUAAUUCUCACAUCAGUUUCCAAGCUGAAUCCAUGCACCUAAGGGCUGAAAUGUCUGUCAGUGAGGCUGUAGAGCUUGGUGGCUUUUUCAGGGAUGUUGUAACUGUCCGGGAGUAAAUCUCCAUGAAGUGCUGGGGACAGAGGAUGGCUGUAAAACUUCCAUAACCCUGAUGGGUAUGGUGUGACCAGGCUGGGGUGCUCACACAUCCCCUCACCUCCAGCAUCCAGCACAUGAUUUGCUGUUUAGGGAUGGGCACAGAACCAGUAUUUUAGGUUUAGUUAUAGUUGCAAAUACAUGACAGCUGUGUGCCAAUGUUAUUCUGAGUGGCUGAAUUCAAGAGCUUUAAUCCUUUUGGUUAAUGGGAAGAAAAGCGGAUGGCACCAGCUAUGUCUGUCUCAUGGAUCAUUGUCUGAUCCUGCUCUCCUUAAUGCCCAUGUCAGGGCUCUCUCGUGCCUCUGGCACUUCUCCUCCAGCCAUUGCUCCCUGUUUUGUUUUGCUGGCUGGGUAUUUCCUCAUAAGUACUCCCAACUCCUAUGCUACUCACUUGUCAUUCACUGUGGCUGUUCUUCCCCAGAGUGCCACAAAACAAGCCCACCUCUCCUAGCCCCAGUGUCGCACUCAGGGCUCCCAGACUGGGCUGCUGCGGCUGCUUCAAUUCCAAGACCAAGCUCUGUGCCAUGAGAACACUGAACCAUGUUCAUAGGCUGAUGUAAACUGGUGAAGCUCCAUUGAUGUUGAUCUACCAUAUACGAGCUCAAAAUACGGCUGAGAGUAAGUGGAUAAUUCCAUGGAAGUAUAGUGAGUGCUGAAGCAUACCUGUGUUGUGU